GCCCAAAUGCAAAAGCGUGACAACCCUGUUCCAUUGCAGCGUGUGUAUUGCCAAAACUGAGCGGCGCACUCAGAACGAUCGAAUGUUAGUGUUAAUGUGCCUCAAAGUGGCGGACAUCCGAAUGGCGGACGGGAUGAUGGUGCGUCCUCGUGGAGCAAAGAAGGACGAUUAACACCACGACUGAAAUUGGCUUGCCAUGGAAAGAGAGUACUCCACGUAAUAUGAUGUCCUCCAGUUGAGUUCUGCCGGUGCCCAGGAGGGAGAUCUACUGCAGGAAAUCUGGUACUCCUAGAACUUUUGGCCACAACUUUAAAAAUAAUUGUCUGAAUAUGGAAUGUCAUACCUCGUUGAGCUCGU
Drosophila erecta is the source of this 357-nucleotide long non-coding RNA. RefSeq lists it as uncharacterized. The transcript has 3 exons. Lineage: Eukaryota; Metazoa; Arthropoda; Insecta; Diptera; Drosophilidae. The record is from RefSeq and is a predicted model, not a curated record.